This is a long non-coding RNA of Ipomoea nil (Japanese morning glory), 529 nucleotides long. RefSeq lists it as uncharacterized. The record is from RefSeq and is a predicted model, not a curated record. The transcript is spliced from 3 exons. Lineage: Eukaryota; Viridiplantae; Streptophyta; Magnoliopsida; Solanales; Convolvulaceae.
ACGACUUUGGCAGCCUCACAGUAUAUAACAGUUAGAAAAUGGCCAUUGAAGAUGACCCAAUUUCACUUGUGAAUUGUGCAGUAAUCCAUCAAUUGGACAAUCUUGACUGUUUGGAAGGCCUUGAGAAUUGAAGCUAACGAUUUUAGUUUCUGUAACCCUUCAAAUCGGUCUGUGUUUCCUUUCCUACUGGAGAAGUUGAGAUUGAGCAGGUUUAAUCAUUUUGAGAGGCAUAUAAUGGUAGUUGGCAUGUUGCUCCAGCUUAAGAGAUAUUCCUUCCAUAUCUCUGGUACUUGUGUCUAAGAUUCUGCCAUUGUUUGGAAGAGUUUUUUGCAGAUAUUUUGCUGUCAAUUGAGAUGAAACAGUGCAGCCCUUCUGUUGUUGCUACUGCCAAGCAGAUUCAAGAAGGCUGCAUUCAUUAUGAAUUGGAUUGUUUGAGAUAAAAACCGAUGGGCUUGAAUUUGAGGAAUCACCUUAUCCACAUGUAGAAGAGGACUUGGCCGACAUCAUAGUGAGCUAAUUGCUAUUAGAA